RNAcentral lists this ribosomal RNA (487 nucleotides) under uncultured bacterium. RNAcentral's name for it is "partial 16S ribosomal RNA". It matches the Rfam family "Bacterial small subunit ribosomal RNA", at positions 28 to 507 of the family's 1533-position model. The record is from RNAcentral.
GAUGAACGCUAGCGAUAGGCUUAACACAUGCAAGUCGAGGGGCAGCACAAGGUAGCUUGCUAUCUGGGUGGCGACCGGCGCACGGGUGCGUAACGCGUAUGCAACUUGCCCUAUACAGGAGGAUAACCCGUCGAAAGACGGACUAAUACUGCGUAUGCUCACAACUUGGCAUCAAGUGGUGAGGAAAGAAAUUCGGUAUAGGAUAGGCAUGCGUCCCAUUAGCUUGUUGGUGAGGUAACGGCUCACCAAGGCAACGAUGGGUAGGGGAACUGAGAGGUUUAUCCCCCACACUGGUACUGAGACACGGACCAGGCUCCUACGGGAGGCAGCAGUGAGGAAUAUUGGUCAAUGGGCGCGAGCCUGAACCAGCCAAGUCGCGUGAAGGAUGACUGUCUUAUGGAUUGUAAACUUCUUUUAUACGGGAAUAACAAGAGUCACGUGUGACUCCCUGCAUGUACCGUAUGAAUAAGCAUCGGCUAACUCCGUG